ACGGAAGGCAGCAGUGAGGAAUAUUGGUCAAUGGGCGGAAGCCUGAACCAGCCAAGUCGCGUGAAGGAUGAAGGUAUUAUGUAUUGUAAACUUCUUUAGCAGUGGAGUAAUAAGGGGCUCGUGAGCCCUGAUGCAGGUACACUGAGAAUAAGGAUCGGCUAACUCCGUGCCAGCAGCCGCGGUAAUACGGAGGAUCCGAGCGUUAUCCGGAUUUAUUGGGUUUAAAGGGUGCGCAGGCGGCGUUUUAAGUCAGUGGUUAAAUCGUGAGGCUCAACCUCAUACUGCCAUUGAUACUGGAAUGCUUGAUUGCGGUUGAGGUUGGCGGAAUUCGUCGUGUAGCGGUGAAAUGCAUAGAUAUGACGAAGAACACCGAUUGCGUAGGCAGCUGACCAAGCCGUAAAUGACGCUCAUGCACGAAAGUGCGGGGAUCGAACAGGAUUAGAUACCCUGGUA
Molecule: ribosomal RNA, 453 nt
Filed under: uncultured Porphyromonadaceae bacterium
Lineage: Bacteria; Pseudomonadati; Bacteroidota; Bacteroidia; Bacteroidales; Porphyromonadaceae
Description: partial 16S ribosomal RNA
Rfam family: Bacterial small subunit ribosomal RNA
Source: RNAcentral